RNAcentral lists this long non-coding RNA (319 nucleotides) under Mustela putorius furo (domestic ferret). Its description in RNAcentral is "lncRNA (ENSMPUG00000026482.1)". The record is from RNAcentral. Lineage: Eukaryota; Metazoa; Chordata; Mammalia; Carnivora; Mustelidae.
CAACAAAUCAGAAAUCAUUUUCCCAAAAAUCAGAAAUAGGAAAAAAAAGAAAAAAAAGUAACCAAAUUCUAGGGGGAAAAACGUGGGAAAGAAGAGCAACAAUCCGGAAAAGAAAUGCUCUGGGUGAGUGGGGUGUGCAUGACCACGGAGCUCUCCCAUCUCUGCACAACACCUCUGGCUCUGGGGAUCUCACUGUUAGACGAGGGCCUGCCAUGGGCUGGGCUCGGCAUGUCGGUCUGGAAGAUUUAAGUUAAAACACCAUAAAUCUUUUCUUGGAAGCAGCAUCUUUCAAGAUAACAGAGGCAGCACCCGGAUUUUG